RNAcentral lists this ribosomal RNA (443 nucleotides) under uncultured bacterium. RNAcentral's name for it is "bacterial SSU rRNA". It matches the Rfam family "Bacterial small subunit ribosomal RNA", at positions 28 to 507 of the family's 1533-position model. The record is from RNAcentral.
GAUGAGCGCUGGCGGUAUGCCUAACACAUGCAAGUCGUACGCCUCACUUCGGUGAGGAGUGGCGGACGGGUGAGUAACACGUUAGUACCUGCCCCAAAGUGGGGAAUAACUGCCCGAAAGGGUAGCUAAUACCCCAUAGUCUCCGGUUUAUCCGGAGUAAAGAUUUAUCGCUUUGGGAGGGGCUUGCGUUUGAUUAGCUAGUUGGUGAGGGUAAUGGCCCACCAAGGCGACGAUCAAUAGCUGGAUCGAGAGGUUGACCAGCCACACUGGGACUGAGAUACGGCCCAGACUCCUACGGGAGGCAGCAGUGAGGAAUCUUCCACAAUGGGCGAAAGCCUGAUCCAGCCAUGCCGCGUGAGUGAAGAAGGUCUUCGGAUUGUAAAGCUCUUUUGCCAGGGACGAUAAUGACGGUACCUGGAGAAUAAGCCCCGGCAAACUUCGUG